This 1242-nucleotide ribosomal RNA is filed under the name metagenome. Its description in RNAcentral is "bacterial LSU rRNA". It matches the Rfam family "Bacterial large subunit ribosomal RNA", at positions 1564 to 2816 of the family's 2925-position model. The record is from RNAcentral.
UGAGUACGAGAUGCUACGGCAUCGAAGCAGUCUAUGUCAUACUUCCAAGAAAAGCUUGCACUGUCAUAAACAAAGAAUGCCUGUACCAUAACCGACACAGGUGGGUAGGUAGAGUAUACUAAGGGGCGCGAGAUAACUCUCUCUAAGGAACUCGGCAAAAUGACUCCGUAACUUCGGGAGAAGGAGUGCCUUAUUUCUAAGGUUGCAAUAACAAGAUCCAAGCAACUGUUUACCAAAAACACAGGUCUCCGCUAAGUCGUAAGACGAUGUAUGGGGGCUGACGCCUGCCCAGUGCCAGAAGGUUAAAGAAGUUGGUUAGCAUUAGCGAAGCUGAUAACUGAAGCCCUGGUGAACGGCGGCCGUAACAAUAACGGUCCUAAGGUAGCGAAAUUCCUUGUCGGGUAAGUUCCGACCCGCACGAAAGGCGUAAUGAUUUGGAUACUGUCUCGGAGAGGGGCUCGGUGAAAUAGACUUGUCUGUGAAGAUGCGGACUACCUGCACCUGGACAGAAAGACCCUAUGAAGCUUUACUGUAACUUGAGAUUGAAAUUGGACUUUAUUUGCGCAGUAUAGGUGGGAGGCGUUGAGAAUAAUCUUGCGGGAUUGUUGGAGCCAUCAGUGAGAUACCACUCUUGUAAUGUUAGAUUUCUAACUUUGUAUCAUUAUCUGGUCAAAGAACAGUUUCAGGCGGGCAGUUUGACUGGGGCGGUCGCCUCCCAAAGGGUAACGGAGGCGCACAAAGGUUUCCUCUGAACGGGUAGAAAUCGUAUCUAGAGUGUAAAGGCAUAAGGAAGCUUGACUGUGAGACCUACAAGUCGAGCAGGGACGAAAGUCGGUCUUAGUGAUCUGACGGUGCUGAGUGGAAAGGCCGUCACUCAACGGAUAAAAGUUACUCUAGGAUAACAGGCUGAUCUCCCCCAAGAGUUCACAUCGACGGGGAGGUUUGGCACCUCGAUGUCGGCUCAUCGCAUCCUGGGGCGGUAGUCCGUCCCAAGGGUUGGGCUGUUCGCCCAUGAAAGCGGUACGCGAGCUGGGUUCAGAACGUCGUGAGACAGUUCGGUCCAUAUCCGGUGUAGGCGUUAGAAUAUUGAGAGGAGCCUUCUCUAGUACGAGAGGACCGAGAAGGACAUACCUCUGGUGUACCAGUUAUCGUGCCAACGGUAAACGCUGGGUAGCUAUGUAUGGAGUGGAUAACCGCUGAAAGCAUCUAAGUGGGAAGCCCACCUCAAGAUAAGUAUUCUCA